Molecule: ribosomal RNA, 156 nt
Filed under: uncultured bacterium
Lineage: Bacteria
Description: partial 16S rRNA
Rfam family: Bacterial small subunit ribosomal RNA
Source: RNAcentral
GGAAUAUUGGACAAUGGAGGCAACUCUGAUCCAGCCAUGCCGCGUGAAGGAAGACGGCCCUAUGGGUUGUAAACUUCUUUUAUAGAGGAAGAAACCCUCCCACGUGUGGGAGGCUGACGGUACUCUACGAAUAAGCACCGGCUAACUCCGUGCCAG